RNAcentral lists this ribosomal RNA (253 nucleotides) under uncultured bacterium. RNAcentral's name for it is "partial 16S ribosomal RNA". It matches the Rfam family "Bacterial small subunit ribosomal RNA", at positions 524 to 776 of the family's 1533-position model. The record is from RNAcentral.
UACGUAGGGUGCGAGCGUUGUCCGGAAUUACUGGGCGUAAAGGGCUCGUAGGCGGCCAACUAAGUCAGACGUGAAAUCCCUCGGCUUAACCGGGGAACUGCGUCUGAUACUGGAUGGCUUGAGUUCGGGAGAGGGAUGCGGAAUUCCAGGUGUAGCGGUGAAAUGCGUAGAUAUCUGGAGGAACACCGGUGGCGAAGGCGGCAUCCUGGACCGACACUGACGCUGAGGAGCGAAAGCCAGGGGAGCAAACGGG